Long non-coding RNA from Drosophila virilis, 2699 nucleotides. RefSeq lists it as uncharacterized. The record is from RefSeq and is a predicted model, not a curated record. NCBI's taxonomy places the organism in Eukaryota, Metazoa, Arthropoda, Insecta, Diptera, Drosophilidae.
GAAAAUAUCUUUGGAAAAAUCAAAAUUCUUUAGAAAAGAAAUAGAAUUUUUAGGAUACAUAGUAUCAUACAAUAUCAUUAAAACUGAUCCGAAAAAAAUAGAAUCAAACAUGAAAUACCCUCCUCCUAAUAAUUUAAGGGAAUUACGAGGUUUUCUUGGCUUAACAGGCUACUACAGGAAGGACAUAACGGUAUGGUUUCAAAACAUAUGUCAAAAAAAACAGAAAUAUCUCUAGACGAAGAAGCAAUCUCUGCGUUUGAAAACUUAAAAUCACACCCUAACUCAAAAAUGAAAAGAUGGCAUGCUUUCAUAGAAGAAUUUUCCCCUAAAAUAUUUUACAAACCAGGAUCUACCAAUGUCGUCGCUGACGCGUUAUCAAGGGUAAUGAUCAAUCAUAUUUCCAAUUAAAGAAAUCACCUGUCCGAAGAAGAACCGUCCGAUAAUUAAACUAUCCAUUCAGCCGACAGUAGUUAUAAAAGCGUAAUUGAAGAAACACACAAACAAUUGAACCAAUUUAAACAACAAUUACUUGUUUCUAAAAACAACAUAACAAUUCAUGAAAAAUUUGAAGUUUUCAACAAAACAAGACAUAUUAUAGAAUACGACACAGUACACAAUUUAAUAAUCAUACUUAAAGAAUUUCUUCAACCAAACCUGACUACAGGAGUUCAUUGCAGUCUCGAAGAUUUAUUCGAAAUCCAAAACUCAUUAAAACACUUUUAACAACAAAUUUUUAUUUACUAAAAAGUUUGUCCUAGACAUCGAAAACAAAAAUGACCAAGAAAUUAUAAUAGUAGAAACACAUGCUCGUGCUCAUAGAGGUUUGGACGAAAAUCUUCAGCAAAUUCUCAAAUACUAUUAUUGGCCAACAUUAUAUAAAACCCUUAAGCAACACAUACGCUACUGCGAAAUUUGUAAUAAAAAUAAAUAUAACAGAAACCCUAAGCAAAUUCCUAUUCCGGAGAGAGAAGAUGAACAAUUACAUAUUGACAUUUUUUAUGCUCAAAAAUUAACAUUUUUGACAUGCCUAGACGCAUAUUCUAAAUUUUUAGUGAUUAAGGAAAUCAAUGACAAAUCAGAUAUGGCAAACAAAGUGUUGGAACUUAUCCAAACUUUUCCUUUCGCUAAAUCCAUAAUGAUGGACAACGAACCUAAGUUUUCCUCGACACAAUUCAAAUCGUCAAUGUCUCGUUCAGGUAUAGCGAUUUAUCAUGCAGACCCCAGACACAGUUUAAGCAACGGUCAGGUAGAACGAGUUCAUUCAACAAUUAUCGAAAUUUCUCGUUGUAUUCAAGAAGAAUACAAUAUAAUGGAUCAUUCCGAAGUCGUAUACCGAGCAGUUAAAGAGUAUAACAACACAAUUCAAUCGACAACUUAACAAAAACCAUGUGACAUAUUAUUUAACAAAAUAGAACACCCAAAAUUGUCAGAAAAAUUAAAAUCAGCCCAAGCCAAAAUGUUAGAGUAUCAUAACAAAAAGAGGUCACCAAAAAAUUACCAAAAUGCACAUUUUAUGGAUCUUAUAUGUUUUACUGCCGUUUUGCGGUACAGACAUUAUAAUUUAUUCAAAUGAUGACUAUGUCCUACUUGAGGAUACAGAUAAUCUUUUUUUAUACGAAGCAUACGGAGAAGUUUUUCACGUUACUAAUCUAAGUUUUUAUAACGAUAUUUUUGAAAAAAAAUUAAAUUUUUUUAAAAACAAAAACAAUACAAUUGAUAGGAAAGUAACCUUGGAAUUGAAUUUAAUCAAAACACUCCUUUCUGAACUUACACCUCACAAAAUUGCCAAACGUAGUAUCAAUGAACUAGGCACAAUUUUUAAAUGGAUCACAGGAACACCAGACCACGAUGACAUGAUAACUAUUCAAACUAAAAUCAAUGAACUUGUUCAAAACAAUAAUAAGCAAAAUCAAAUCAAUUCUGCAAUUUUCAAAGAAGUCACUAAAAUCACAAAUCUUUUAAGAGAUAUUAAAUUUAAUCAGGAAUUAUUUAUGAAAAAUAUCGACUUAAGUUGUUAUCACUUGACCUACAAAAACUGCUGGAUACUAUCACAUUUUCCAAAGCCAGAAUAUUGAAUCCAAAAAUCUUAAAUAAACAAGACAUGAUAAAUAUAUUUAACCACGAAACACUCAAUAUCACUCUAAUCGAUCUUUUAGACAUUUCCUCUUUUUCGAUCGUUUCAUACCCAGGUUUAAUCAUAGUUUUUAAAAAAUACCCUACAAUUAAUUACAAUUGUAAGUUAUACCACCCUAAAGCCAUAUCCCAAACAGAUGGAAAAUUUUUCGUUAACGGCAAAAUUGCUAAAUGUAAUAACACGUUUUACCUCAUUGAUAACUUUAAAAGAGAAAUUUAUAAUAGUUUUGCCUACAUUAAUUUUGAACCAAACUGUUUUGUAAAUCUCCUUAAUAAAAAAUUUACAAGUUGUAUAAAAUUAUCCGAAAAAAAUAAACCAAUAGAAUUUAUAACAGACGGCGCUAUUUUAGUAUCAGGCACAAACUGUAUUAACGAAACCUGGCUUACAGGCAUUUACCUUGUUACAUUUAAAACCAUAGAAACCAUAAACAAUGUUACCUACACCAAUGUAAGAGAAAAAAUUCUUAAUUAUGUAAAACACAAUAAAUUCACAAACUACUUAGUUAGUUAUCAAGUUACUAAUAAUACUGAACUUCAAUUAGAAAAUACAAAUAUACUAUCACAAA